CACAGGUGGUCAGGUAGAGAAUACCAAGGCGCUUGAGAGAACUCGGGUGAAGGAACUAGGCAAAAUGGUGCCGUAACUUCGGGAGAAGGCACGCUGACACGUAGGUGAAGUGAUUUACUCAUGGAGCUGAAGUCAGUCGAAGAUACCAGCUGGCUGCAACUGUUUAUUAAAAACACAGCACUGUGCAAACACGAAAGUGGACGUAUACGGUGUGACGCCUGCCCGGUGCCGGAA
RNAcentral lists this ribosomal RNA (234 nucleotides) under Salmonella enterica subsp. enterica serovar Typhimurium. RNAcentral's name for it is "partial 23S ribosomal RNA". It matches the Rfam family "Bacterial large subunit ribosomal RNA", at positions 1658 to 1874 of the family's 2925-position model. Lineage: Bacteria; Pseudomonadati; Pseudomonadota; Gammaproteobacteria; Enterobacterales; Enterobacteriaceae. The record is from RNAcentral.